GGAUAGGGUCUUCCGGGUGGGAAGAUAAGGUCAAGGAACGGCUGGAUUUGGUGGGAUAAGGAUGGGAGCUGAACAGGGGAUGUUGAUGGUUGUUGGGAACGGAACUGGGAUCAAGCCGUGGAAGGAAACAUGGCUCUGUUGAGAGAAUCUCGGACGGCUGGAACGAGCGUGGGCGAGCUGGGAUUGGAGUUCAUCCGGAGGCUGAUGAGAGCUGAUGCCGUUUAGGAGUGAUCCGGAAGAGGCCAAUGCGAACGGAAGGAGAGAAGAUCACGGAGAAACAGGGGAUUCGGAUGGCAGUUGAGAUGAAGCUCGCGAUGGAAAGACUUGGGUUUUGUUCCGCUGAAGCAGGGGAUGAUGUGGAUGAAUCCGUGGAUGCAGGGGAAUUCAGAUAGGAAGAAAUCUUUGGACGCGGAAGAGGGAUGUGAUCCUGACGUUGGGGAAGAUCUCACGGAAUGGUUGGGAAGUUUGCUGGGUAUGAGUUUAUCCCGUCAAUGCUAGAGAUCAAGCUCCCUUGCUCUGUUCUAUUUCCGUGAAAUCUGGGAAGAUAGAUCGGAAGCUAUGCCAUGGGAGAUUGGCUCUGUUUUGAAACUAAAAUAAGGGAGGUUGGUUUAGGGAGGAUUUCGGUUGUUCCUUUUAGAUGCUCACGGGAUGAAGUUUGGUAACAAAAGUUGGGAGAUCGAGAGUCGCGGGAACUGGGGAGAUGGUUGGGAAGAUCCCGGCUGUUCCGGAGUAAUGGAAGACCGUGGACGUUGGGAGGAUCUCAUGCGAACGAUGGCUGGGAGGAGAUCGUUGAAAGAAGAGAAGAUGAGCUGGGAGUUCGGAAGGAGAAGACGUGGCUUUGUUUGUGGACGGGAGCGGAAUGAUGAUGAAGCUCACGGCUGGCAGGAAAUCCUUCGACGCCGUGUUUGCUGGUCCGUGAGGUUCGGGAUUUCUUUAUUCCGAAGCAGGGGAUGAAGGUGAAUUGGUUGAAGCUGGGAGCUAAUCCGGAUGAGGUUGAAACAGGGGAGGAAGGCUGCGGACGUGGAGUAGGGGAUGUUAGGUAGAUUAAGCCGGAAGAUAAGAUGGAGGAGUUGGAUUCGGAAGUUGAGAAGAAGUCGGAAGAAGAUGAACCUGUUCUUUGGACAUGGGAGAGAAGGAAUGUCAUGAAUCGGCUGGGAUGGCUCGGAUGCUAUCGGGAAGAGCUUGAAGUUGGGGGUCACGGGAGAAGCCGAAUAAGAUAUGUUUCCCGGGAGGCAAUCGGGAUAUGAGGGCGGACGUGUGAAUUGGAGGAGAUAGGUUGAGCUUUGAGAUCCGUGCGAUGAUAGAUGGUACGCUUUGAGAUCUAUGAGACAAAUGAUCGAAUGGAUCAUAUUAUUUUUAAUGUUAAACAGGAGAAUGGGAAAAAUUUAGGUGAAUGUGUGAAGAGUCAGGAAUUAAUGGGGAGCACUGGGCUUUGGAAAAGAGUUCUUGGAGUCGACUCUGGGGGAUGCUGCAGUGUCCAUAGGCUUUACCUAAUUGAGCUCGACUCGACCUGCAUGCAUUAAGCUUAAUUAAUAAAUAAUCAAAUCAAACUUGAAUUAUCUUGGAUAAUUUAUUAAAAUGCAAUCAUGUAGGUAAUGCAUUUUUUUGGUUGAAUUUACAAAUUAUGUGAAUUAAAAUAAUGAUAAGUGCUAUGAAUAAGAUAUUAAUUUAUGCAUUAUUUAGCACUUAUCAC
RNAcentral lists this long non-coding RNA (1693 nucleotides) under Phoenix dactylifera (date palm). RNAcentral describes it as "long non-coding RNA (PDAC_LNC004689)". The record is from RNAcentral. Lineage: Eukaryota; Viridiplantae; Streptophyta; Magnoliopsida; Arecales; Arecaceae.